CCACAGCUCAUGAUAAGACAAUCAUAAAUGUAAUACCUGUAAAUAAAGCGAGUAACACGGAUGACCAAUCAACAAAGCAAGAUCAGAGUCAAGGUGGAGGUCUUUUAAAGCCGUUAGAGGACGCAUUAGCUUUAUUACCACUUGGAAAGGCUUAAAUAUGUUUCUUUUCCUAUAGCAAAUUGUUAUUUAUUAUGAAGUUUAGAUCAACUAAACUUAUAUAUAUAUAAGGGAUAAUACAUUCGUUUUUCAUUGUGACUGGAAUGUGGGCUUUUGACUUAAGAUAUUUAUUGUAAUAAAUUAUGAUUGGACAAGGUGAUUUGUACUGUAGACAAUAUUAAACGAUUGUAAUGAAAACCAGGCAUUCAAAUUUACUUGACAGUACAUGAAGUUAAUUGAUAUAUGUUUAAACAGAGGUUCAUAAGUAAUAUUGUGAUUACUUUCGCAUUAUCAGUAUUUGUUAUUCAAUACUAAUAGAAGUCUGGUUUCAACUUUAACACGUUUUGAUUAAAAUAAAGGAUAAGGCCAUA
Long non-coding RNA from Pieris napi, 527 nucleotides. RefSeq lists it as uncharacterized. The record is from RefSeq and is a predicted model, not a curated record. NCBI's taxonomy places the organism in Eukaryota, Metazoa, Arthropoda, Insecta, Lepidoptera, Pieridae. The transcript is spliced from 2 exons.